This is a long non-coding RNA of Cavia porcellus (domestic guinea pig), 11540 nucleotides long. RefSeq lists it as uncharacterized. The transcript is spliced from 5 exons. NCBI's taxonomy places the organism in Eukaryota, Metazoa, Chordata, Mammalia, Rodentia, Caviidae. The record is from RefSeq and is a predicted model, not a curated record.
CCAGAAGGCUUAGACUCAGAGGUCCGUGUCUACAGUAUUCCCCCAUCUGGAAUAUUUUGAUACAUUUGGAUCUUGCACAGCAAUCUCUCUUUCAGCUCACCGUUUCCAGAAACUUACAGGCAAAGGAACUCCAGGAAACAUAGUUCAUCCCAGCCCUGCUGACACGUUAACAAGUCAUCACACCACUAAAUAAGCAUUUGGGCCCAGGACCCCUAUGAUUCUUUCACCUCUUCUACCCGAGGACACCUGCAGCCAAGAGGAUCUCUGGCAUCCAAUACCUCUAGCAAAAUAUCUGAGGCCUCAAUCACCUGAUUAAGCAGAAACGGCGGUCACAGAACAGCAGGAGCAAGGUUACUCUCCGAGUGCCACAUACGAAAUGCGACCUUGGAUGAAUCCACUAUUUUAGUUCUGCAUCAGAAGAUCAGAAUGAGCCUAAUGGGAUGGACUAGACACCUGAAGAAACAGUGAGGAAAGGGUCAGGCAUCUGGAAAAAACCACUUAGCCAACAUCUUGUGAGAUGCUGUUCAACAGCUGCCAUGAAGGCUUCCAAAGAGCUACCAAAAGCACCCAUGAGAAAGUGAGAAGUCAGCCUACAGCACUCCCAGUUGGGUGAGAACUUCCUCCUUGUGCACUGCCUCCUAUUCCUUCCCUGAUCUUGACCCUGGAAGACCAGAAACCAUCAGCCUAGAAAAAGUCAAGUAGGGAAGACAGAAGAAAGUGUCUGAACUGUCUGCAUGUUUCUAGGUGCAGCAGGAUUUAUCUGGGGAGUUGGGAGUCCCUGCCUUGGCUGAGUUUCUCCACAAGGAAGGGGAAGAGCUCUUUUUGUUGUAUGUAUUUUUAAAAGAAUAGUGGGCUCUGAUUAGAUUUUUAUGAGCAUUCCCUGUUUACUGUACACCUUUGCAAUUUUUACCCAAACUAUAUCACACUUUACAAGUGAUUCUUAAACUUUCAUGAUUCACUGAGAGUUCCCUCAGAUUUCACUGCUUCCCCCCUCAGUGGGAUGCCAUUCAUUGACUUUCCUGAACUCUUUUCUUCCUGAGACCUUGUAAUUUAGACUUUCCUUUAAUGUGAGUUAUCUAUUACUUCUUAAACAUUAAUUUAGCUGGAAUGUAUCUCUGUUGUUUUCAUUGACGUAAAGGAUAAGUUCAUGAAAUAUUUUGACAAAUGUUGCUCAUUGCUCUCCAAUCCGAGGCAGCAUUUUAAACUGUUACCAGUGGUUGGAAGGAAUUAUCCUCCAGUCUGAGGUAGCAUCUUAAAUGGUCUGGGCUUCAUCAUAUUCUGACUUGCUUUAAACAAUUCCUUAGUGUUAUGAAUAGAGAACCUUCAUUUUUUUCAGUUUUCCUUACACAAUACCACUUUGAUUUUCUGAUAGAGUGAGGUUGUUUAUUUCUGAGUGAGUCAAUGUUGUUUUCUGUAGUGGAUUGGCCAACAAAUAACUCAUUUAUUAUUGCCAGGAUGUAACUGGUUUGUAUUAACUUGCCAGAUGUAUAAUUGAUGAGGUGAUCCAGUGUCAAAUUAAUUUCAUUUAUAAGUGGGGUGGUUUAAGAGUCACAAGUUUGGAUGUCAACUAUUCUAAAACAGCAUUCUUGCACAAUCACCUUAGCAACAGUAAAUAAUGACAUAAUCAUCACACACCAGAAAAAGAAUGGCCAAGCAUGAUCUAAACAGUUCUUUUCCUUAUAAUUGUUUGCCAACUACUUUUUUUUUUUUUUUUAUUACUUUACAUAUAUACUGGAAAAGCCAGCCAUGGAAGUGGAAUGAUUUGUGAUGCAAAUUGAAGGCAUAUGAAAAAAAAUUCAGAUUCUCCAACUGAGUAAAUAUUAUUAAAAUGACAUCCUAUGUGCAGGUAGGGUUUUUGUCCUAUGUAAAGAAAAAUGUGCACGUGAUUUAUGGGAAAAAAAGAACUAUAGUGAGUACUCAAUCAUCAAGAGUUGUGUGUAGUAGGCAGUGCGUGGACAAAUGAAAUUAUACCCCAGUCAACUUCUUGGAAUGCUUAGUACAAGGAGACUUGUAUUUCCUGCCCUCACAUUGCCUACAUUUUUUGAGAUUAAUGGAAAAAAUGGAAAAAGUUUACCAGAGAGACUGAGAAGACUGGAAGAGGGGAUUUGCAAGAUUUUGUAGAAAAGGGAGGAUAUUAUUCAAAAUAUUUGAUAGUAUGAUAAUGUAAAUGAAUAUACAAAACAAAAUUAAAAUAAUCAACACGUGUUUUAUAGGGUCUCAGAAGGGAAGAGGGCUUAAGUAAAUAAAGUAUGUUGUUCUGUUACUAAGAUACAUGGAAAGAUUGCUUUAUUGUGCCAAGCCAUGCAACCGAGAGCAGGAGAAAUUGCCAAGUGCCUGGAAUAAACGAAGGCUCUUUGCCAAGGCCUCCAGUGUGGUGUCCGGUAGAACUGAUGAUAGCGACCAUCCGUGCUUCUCAUGUGUCCUAGUUUGAAGUGUUGUUUCCUGGAGAUUCUUUGUUCAUGUUAUCCAUCAGUCUCUGGAAUCUCUCUUGUGUUCUGAGUUCAGUUAAAAUUUUAAUACGAAGAGAUGUUAAAUUUUAUCUCAUACUUUUUCUCAGUGAAAUGACAAAACCGUAUGGUUUUUCUGCUUUAACCUUUUAAGUGCAAUGAAUCACAUUUAUUUCACUGUUGGGCUUCCUCAGAAUUACUACAUUAGAGCAAAAUUGGACAAGAUAUUUUUUUCUUUUUUUAAAUAUUGGGCCGGAUUUUGUGUGCUUAUAUUAUUUAGGGUUUUUAUAAAAUGUUUAUCAAUCAGUUAAAUUUCUUUUAAUUUUCCUCCAUCAUAUUUUUUUCCCCCCAGAAAUAGGGAUUGAACCCAGGGCCUUUGUACUAAGGUAUAUCCCAACCCUUUUUUAUUUUAAUGCAAGGUCUUGCUAAAUUCUAAGCUGCCGAGGCUGAUCUCAGGAUCCUUUUCCCUCCGUCCUCUAGAGUGCCGGGGUUAUAGUGUUCACUGCAAUGCUUGGCCGGGAGUUUGUUUAGAUUUAAAUAUGUAUUUCCCAAAUUGUCUACUCAGCGUUCCUUCUUGUAUCCCAGAUCUUCAUCCUGAGGUCAGAUUUUUCGUUUCGAAGUCUUUUUAGAAGUUCCUUUAGUAAAACUCUGAAAGUAGUAAAUAUUGUCAAAUUUUAUUCAUUUAUGAUUACCUUUAUCUAAUUCUUGGAAGAUAAUUGUGCUGCAUAUUCAGAUCUAGGUUUGUAGUUAUUUUUUCAGUUAAGUUUGGAGAUAUUCCUUCCUUUUAGUGUUGACAAGUAUUCUGUUUAACUUCGUUUUUGUAGGCAUUCUCUGGGUGCUGUCUGGGUACUUUGAAUCACCUAAGGAAUUCUGUAUUCUUAGCAUUACACAUGUACUUUGAUACUGAUUUUGUUGUGCUUAUCUGAUUUGAUGUUUGUUGUCCUUCUCAAGGUCAGCACAUUUACUGACAUUUCAUCAGUUCUCAGCCAUUAUUUCUUUGAAUACUGCACCUUCUGGGUCCUCUCAGUUCUUUUCUUCUAAGACUUUGAUUGGACAAAUGCCAGACCUUUUAUUUAUUUUUUUAAAAAUCGAUUUUAUUGGUGCAUUUUAGAUAAACAUGAUGAUCACAUUCACCUUAGAGAAUUUGUACCCAUGCAUGCUAUAUCUUAAUUCUUUGUUUCCUAUUCCCUCCCUUCCCUUCAACCUUUUCUCCCCUCCUUAUUUAUAAAAACUUUGCUUCCAUUUUUUCUUUUAUUUUCUUUUUUGUUUUCCCUUUCUUCCUUUCCAUGCUUCUUAUAUUUCCUGGUUUGAAUGGCUAUUUGUUCAUAUUAUUCAUCAGUCUCUGGAAUCUCUCUUAUGUUCUGGGUUCAGUUAAAAUUUUAACAUGAAGUGAUGUCAAAUUUUAUCUCAUAUUUUUUAUUAGUGAAAAAUAAGACCGUAUAUGUUCAUCGUCUCCCUAAUUCCCCUUCCCAUUUGAAUAUUUUUCCUAUUCCUAAUAUCUAUUAUACGUUUUAUUUCUUAUUUACAUUUUUGGUUUCUUAUACCAGAGAAAUGUGGUAUUUAAACACAUGUGCUUGAUUUAUUUCACUUAAGAGUAUGGUCUUAGGGUGCAUUCAUUUGUGUAGAAAUGUUUUGAGUUUAUCCUUCUUUGUGGAAGAGUAGUACUCCAUUUUAUUAAAAAACAAAAACUUAUUCCAUUCAUUGGUUAAUAUGUAUUUGGGCUGUUUCCAAAAUUUAACCAUUACAACAGUUCUGCUACAUGAGUGUGCAUAUAUUGCUGUAGUACAAUGCUUUUAAUUCAUUCAGGAAGAUACCAAAAAGAAUACCUGGGUCAAACGGAACCUCUAGUUUUAGUUUUCUAAGGAAUUUCCAAACAGCUUUCCAGAGUGGUUGAACCAGUUUACACUCACAACAUUAGAGAAGGGUUCUUUUUUCCUUGCAGUCCCUCCAGCAUUAGUUAUUGGUUGAUUUCUUGACAAAUAGCCAUUUUUUCUGGGGUGAGGUAGAGUCUCAGUGUUGUUUUGAUUUGCGUCUCUCGAAUGACCAGUGAUGCUGAACAUAUUUUCAUGUGUUUAUUUGCUGAUUGUAUUUCUUUAGCUGAGAAGUGCAUAUUAAUCUCAGAUGUCCAUUUUUGGAUUGGGUCUUUAAAUUUGGGAGGUGUGAUUUUUUUGGAGUUCUUCAUAUGUUCUCAAUAGUAAUCCUUUGUCUGAGGAACAGCUGGUAAACAUUUUUUUCCCUCAUCGUGAGUUGUCUUUUCACUCUGUUGGUACUUUCUUUUGUUCUGAAUAAGCUUUUUAAUGGAAUGAGAUCCCAGUUGUUGAUUUUUUGGUGGUACUUACUGUGUUAUCAGGGUUUUGUUCCUAAAGUCUUUUCCUACACCUGUGUCUUCAAGAGUUAUACCUCUUCUAUCUUCCAGCAGAUUUAGUGUUUCUGUUUUAAUAUUUAAAUCUUUGACCCAUUUUGAUUUUAAUUUAGUGCAUUUUGAAGCAUAUAGGUCUAGUUGUACGAUUCAGCAUAUGGAAAAUCAGUUUUCCCAGCACCAUUUAGUAAGAGGCUGUCUUUCUUCCAGUGAAGACAUUUGACCUCUUUGUAAUAAAUAAGGUGACUGAAUGCAUUUGCAGUUGUUUCUAUAUCUUCUAGUCUGUUUCAUUGAUUCUCAGGUCUGGUUUUUGUUUUUUUUCCUUUUUCAGUCACAGUAGCUUUGGAGUACAAUUUCAAGUCAGGGAUUGUGAUGCUCCUGGCCUGCUAGAUUGUUUGAUUCUAUUUUUCAUGACUUUUUAGUAUUUUGUAUCAUUAUGUAUCACAGUGCAAUAAUGUUGGAAAUUUCUGUAGGUUACUCUUCUACUUCCCUUAUUUUCUCUUUUGCCAUAUCUAAUCUCAUAUUUAGUUAUACAUCAAGAUUUUAUUAUUUAUGGUAAUGUUUGUCAUUUAUAAGUUAUGGUUGGCUAUUAUGCAAACCGUUUUCUAUUUUUCUCUAUUUUUAGCUCUAUGUAAGAUAUAUGUGUUAUUAUUUAGUAUUAUGAACCUAAUAAUUCAAAUAUUGGAAGCACAAAACUGUCUUGCUUCUGCUGUCUAUUCUUAUGGUGUUUGUUUCUUUGAGGGUUUAUGCUGUCAUAUUUGAUCUACCUUAACUUGUGGCGAGGGCCUAAAUUGAGGAUGCUUUUCUCUAGAGAGGAUUUCUGUUUCUUUUAUGCUAUGGAUAAAAGAUGCUCCUCUCCUCAGAUACUCACAAGUCCAGAUUGAUGUGGGAUCAGGAACACUCAGACUUGGUAUCUGCCUGUGGUUAGCUUAUAUAUUAAUCAUGACACCUCUUAAAGCCCCAUCACACACCUACCAUGUUCUGUUAAUGCCACCUCCACAGUGUCUUGUCUAAGAAUUUGUUUUUCUGCUGACACUUUCAUCCAGGUCCUUAUGACCUCUCACUUGGAUUAUUUUAAUGGCCUCCUAAUUUCCCCUUGGUCUUAAUCUUUCCUCUAAUCAUUUCUGAUCCUAGCUGCCUACUCUUUCUAGAGUACAGUUCUGAUUUGUACAGUAUAAAGCUCUUAGUUUGCAUAGUGAUCAUCUUUUGGUAAUACAGCCACCAGGAUGCCUCCCCUAUACCUGUCUGCUCCUUUGUGAGGAGUGGUGGCUAUAGUUCCUGCUCAGUGGCUUCCUCUAUGCUCUCACAGUAAACCCAGACACCACCUCCCAUCUGGCUUUAAGUGAUUCUUUUACAAGAUCUAGCUGAUCUUUACACUGGAGCUCUAAUUCCUUGCAUGCUUCUUACAGUCUAACCAACAUUCAUGAAGUACUAAAAAUCUCUUCUUUUCUCUCUUUGCUUUUGUUCCUCUGGCAAGAACAUUCCUCCAUUGCUAUUUCCCUACCUUAGCAUUUUUGAUUCUCAGAUGAGGUAUUUUCUCUAAAGUUAGAAAGAUUUAAUGGAAAUAAAGAGACCUCAUUUUAAAUGCUGGGAACGGCCAACAUUUUGUUUCUGUUAAUUCCACAUCAGAAAACUGUUCUUUUACUGACUGAUAGUGCAAAGAAUACCCAGUUUGCAAAUGAAGUUUAAGCUGCGCCCCCCCCCACCAGCUGUGUUGUUUGCUGUGUAAACAUAAUCUGGGUGAUAACCUCAGUUUCUACUUCAGUAAAGUGGGCAUAAUCAUAUAUAUCUCUCUCUGACAUUCAUGGGGAUGAAUAAGCAUGUGAUUCACAAAUUGCUAUGUGCCACAUACUUAUAUAGAAGGGUGCACGGGACCUCACAAUUUACUUAGUCUCAUCUCAGAAGGAAGUGGUCACAAGAGGAAGAGGAGGACAGCUAAAGGAAAAUGUGUGCCUGGAAAGAGGAAUGAAGGGCGAUGCUUCCCUGCAGGAAAAGGUCCCCAGGGCAAGAUGUCCAGUUAAGCACCUUCCCCAGGUUUGGUUAUAUUGGACAGGGAUGCAAGGGUGUUCUUUGGGAGAGAAGAAUCAUGCUAGGGCUCUAGUGUCUUCCUGGGUCUUUCUGGGACUGGUCAGGACUGUACUGCCGAUAGCAAAGCCUGGGUCAGCCGCUAGCUGGUCCAGAUGCUGUUUCAUAAAUGACCACACGGCUGUGCCCUAUUCGCGGUCAGAGAUACAGUUUGGGUUCAGUAUAGGACUGCUGAACAAAUAAGUGCCUGGCCAUCCUUUUGCUGGAUGAGGUAUACAGAGAUUGGGGGACAUGUUCUGGGCAGCAGCCUGCAGCAUGUAUUGCCCUGCAGCUGGAUUCUCCUCUCAAAAAGAGGCUGGGGUCGGGGAAAUGCAGCCUGGCAAAGUGACCAGACAUAUGUUUUCUUAGUUUGAUGCCGUGGCCAACUCUUAAAGUUGCCAAUUGGAGCUUGAAGAUAGCAUUUUGAGCUCUGUCCCACUCACAUUUACUAAGGACUCUUCUCCAAACUGUGUUCUUUUAAAUUCGUUAGUAUUAGAGUGAACAUGCCUCUGUGGCUGUCCCUAGGAAGUGUAUGUGUAAAUCUAAAGAAAAGGAGGAUAUCAGGAAUGGUCAUAAAAUUCCUUCAAGUUUCACAGCACUGUUUAACACUGGGUGGUGGUUUUUUUUUGUUUGUUUGUUUUUUGGUUGUUCUAUUGCACUUGAUUUUGAGCUGUUUAAGGCAAGGGCUAUCUGUGGUUUACUCACAUUUGUAUACUCAGAGAUUCUAGAACAUUACCUGGAACAAAAUAUGCAUUUAAAAGAGGCUAUAUAAAAGAAUGGAUGAAUGAAAUAUUUCUCUUGAUUUGUAUAUAGCCAAAGCCUUUUGUCCAAUGCCUAGUGGUAGUGAUAGAAUGGGCAUUGGACAAAACUGUGGCACACAAAUCUGUGAGCUUUUCUGUAAGGCUAACAGAGGCAGACCCACAUAGAACCCUCAAGAAUGCACAUACUAGACUGGGAGUCUGAUAUCUCAAAUCUCUAUGUUUUACCAAUUCCCAGCAUAUUUUGGUACACAAGAAGAUUACUACUUUGGCACUGCCUUGCAAUGGAAGCACAUUAGAACUUCAGGGCAGAGAAAGCAUGCUUCAGGCAGUGAUGAAUACACAGAAAUUUUUUUUUCCUACUUUAAGGAGCCAUUUGUUUUUUCUAAUUUCUUUUUUGUUCUUUCAAAAUCUGAAAAGAUGAACAAUAUAAAAUAGAGAUAUUGUGCAACUGUUUGCUAAGGAAGACUGACCACCAAAGUUUUUCUGACAAUUUGUGGUGGACAUGGGCAAGUAAAACAGACUUCUGUUUGUACUUCCGGCCUUAAUCCUGAUGCUUUUAUUGAAAUUUGGUUAGAUUUCCGAGGUGCAAUAGUAUGGUGGAGAGAAACCUGUGCUUGGAGUCAGAAAGCUUGGGCUGGGCUGUUAUGCUCAUCAGUUAGAGAAUCCAGAGCACCUCACAGGAUUCUUGAAAACUUGAUUUUCUCUCUGUUAAGACAGAGCAAUGCCUCUAAGGGUGUUGUGAGAACAGACUGAUUACUGAUCAAGAAAAGUUUUAUAUAGCAUUAUUUUAUUUUAUUAAAAUGGAGUUUACUUGCUUACUUUUAUUUUCUUAUGUCUGAGUUAUUACGCCCCACCAAGCAUGACAGAUACAUCCCCCCCUCCUUUUUUUCUAUGUAAAGUCUUUAAAAUUUGUGUGUUUAUCACUAUUGUGUAAUGGUAUGGUGCAGUGUCCUGCUUCGGUCAGUGUAGAUUGAUGUAUUCAAAUGUGUUGCUACAAAGCAGAGUCAUGACAGUAAAAUCCAAGUCUGAACAAUAUUUGAUAUUAAUGUUGGUAUCAAUAUGGUAUGAGACAUGUAUUUUCAAAAUUCUACUUUAGUUCACACUGGAUGGUCAUUGAGACGAGGUUUCCAGUUUUCCUUGUGAAACAUGAGGACAGCAUUUUAAUUUCCUGUACCACAUCGGAAUGCCAUGACAAUGUGUAUGGAGACUGUUGAAUUCUUUUGAUGCAGAGAUAGUAUAUUUUAAAAAUGACUAGAAGCAGCAGAGAUAGUAUGUAAGUGUGGGUAUAUCUUGAUUCAUAAAUCUAGAAAUGAACUACAGAACAGUAUAGGAGGCAGGUUAGGAAAGAUCAUGUUCCAAUAGUCAGUAACUGGUCUAGUGCCAGAGUGACCUCUGUUCUGUUUUGACAAACAAAAUACCAAAAAGUAAGACAUGUGAAAAAAGUAAAGUCUAUCAAGACAAAACUAAACAGAAGAGAUCUUGACAGCACUUAUAUUUUUGAGAUGACUCAACUCAGGACCUAUGACUAUGGUCGUUUUUUUUUGUUUGUUUGUUUUUGAGAUCUUCUAACCUAAAGUAGUGAUAGUUUACAAGUCUUAUUUAGGAUAUUUUAUUAAAUAUGCACUCUUAAAUUUGUAGUCAAAUUAGAGUCAGUACUUGUAACUAUUAGAAGUUUAGAUUCAGCAUCUAAUAGUCCAUGGUUGCUUUUUCUAGUCUAGUCACUGAAACUUUAAAUUUGGAAGUAAUUCUAUAUGGUGCUUCAUUCUCAAAUGUCCAUAUAUGAAAGUUGUUCUAAUGAGUAACGUUAAGGGAGGGAGAUAAAUGCAUGUGGAUGUCAUGCAGAAAGAAGGAUGGGCUUUCAGACUAUAUCGUAGGAUAAUUUUGUUAAAUUUACUUAGAAGAAUGAAAUCUUCAGAUGACAAAAGUUUAAUGGAGAGUGAAUGACCAGGGUAAGAAGAAUUUGACUUUAUAUAAUGCCAGUUCCCUUUAUCCCCACAUCCAGUACAGAAAAUCACUCUAGCUAUCCUUCAGCUACCUUAGGUAUCUCACAAGCUCUUACACUUCCAUUGCUCUUCUGAUCCCAGUGUUAGCUGGUCUCACCUGGAUUAUAAGAGUCUGUUUGUGGUCUCUUUUUGGACCCGGGAAUGGAAGCCCAGGAUUCUUUCCCCAUGUUUGGUGGCUCUUCCAUGAGAAGGAUCAUUCUCUCUGGUUGGUGUUCCCUGAGGCAGGAGCCAAACCUCCAGGUUCCUUUCAGGUCCUUUCAGCUGUAUGAGUCUCCUGUGGCUACUGUAACAGGCACUUUAUUGGCUAAAGAAACAGAAAUUUAUUCUGAAAAUGCAUUCCACUGGACUGAAAUCAAGAUAUAACAGGGAUGUGCACCCCUCACAGGGUCUGACGGUUUGUUGCCCCUCCCAGCUCUGGUGGCUGCCAACAGUCCUUUGCUUGUGGUUGUGUCACUCCCAUAUUUGCCUCUAUGAUUAAUUGUCGUUUCUUGUGUGUGUAUCGAAUCUCUCUUCCUUCUUAUAAGUGUAUAUAUGGCUGUAUUCAGUGCCCAUCUAGAUAAUCCAGGAUAAUCUCUGCAUUUCCAAAUGCUUAAUUUAACCAAGACUCCUCCACUAGGUAGCAUACACAAGUUUCUGAGAUGAAGAUGUGGGCAUCAGUGGGGCACUGUAUUUCAGCCCUUCAGCAUCCAUGAAUGACCAAAGAAAGAUUUUACCAUUAACUCCAGUUAGAAAUUCCUGCUUCUGAUUCAAUGUAGGUCACUGGGGCCCCCUUGACCACUGUGGGGAAAGGAACUGUUGAAAAGGACUUGGGGUGGGGAAGGGAAUUGUCAGUUGGCUGGGGGGAGGGAUUAAUAUUCUCAAAGGGAGAGAUAGUUGGGGAAGCUGCUGGGAAGACAAAAACCAUAGACCUGUGAAAUGACACAUCGGGAACUAUUAUAACUCUAGGAAACAGAGUAAGAAAGUACAUAUUUAAACAUUAAGUUGUUUGAAAAUUGUUAAGAGCCCUGGAGAUCACAAAACAUGAAGAUCAGUGAAGAAGAAAACUUCACUGAGAACCAGGAGAAAGUCUUCCCAAAAGUUAGGUGGCAGUUUUAUGCCUUUUCUAGAUCUUCCAAUUAAGCAAGAGGUGCUGGCUAAGGAUUAUCACAUUUAUGUCUUGUUUUUGUUUUGUUGUUUCAGAGGAGAAAUUUAAUGCUUAUAUUUUUAAGAGGUCUACAAUUCAUUUAACAAACUCUGUCCUUUCUGGUCAAGUUUUGGGGUUGUCAAGAUGGAGAGCUGAUUUCACAGUGAGCUGGGAGUUUUAUCCCCACGAGGUUUGAGAGGAACCUGGUUUUCCUAGUUCAGAAGAUCUUGUUGCCUCUAGCAGGGCUCGCAGGCAACGAAAGAGCCAAAACCAGGUUAGAAUUUGGAAUGCAGAGACCCUAAGGCAGUGUUUAAAUUGCAGAAACUGGAGAGAGGAAGGCCAGGUGUGUCCUUGGUCUAUAUUAUAUUGUGCCCUUUUCAGCUCAUAUCAUGAGCUCCAUAGAAAUGGCCAACAAGAGCAACAGUGUCUAAGUGUAAACUAACUAUAUAUUUAGUUAGCUCAUGAGUAGGGUUGCUAGCUAGCGGAAGGCCCUGAGAUAGAGCUGGGUGAUCAAAAGAAUAAAGAGUACAGAUAUUCCUCGUUUAAGCAUUUAUCUGUUUAAUGACUGUUUGGAUUUACAACUAGUCCUUCCCUUUUGUGUACUUCUGUACAUCUUCUUGAUAGAGCCUCAAAAACCUUUUUUUUUGUAUAGUAAACUUUGUUUUUGUAAUAUGGUAAUUUUGUUGGUUGUAUAGUUUUAUGUUCUUUUAUCAUUACAGUACUGCAUGUAUGUUAUGUAAAUAAAAACAAACUCAUUAAGUUGGAGUUUCCUUUGAUCAUUUC